AGGCUGACCUCUUUGUUCUGGUGUCUCUCAUCUGUGCUCUGCUGACCCUGGAUGCAUUUGUAACAGCAUUUCAAGGCGUUCAGUUUGUCUCCAGUGUUCCCAGAUGCGACUCGCAUCUGCCCUGCAUUACUUGAAGAUUUUUUCAACAAGAAGAUCCUGCACAGAUGAAUCUCAAGUUGAAGACCAAGGUCACACCUGUGCCACCUCCCCCUUAUUUUACUCAUGUACUCCA
Long non-coding RNA from Cuculus canorus (common cuckoo), 232 nucleotides. RefSeq lists it as uncharacterized. The transcript is spliced from 3 exons. The record is from RefSeq and is a predicted model, not a curated record. Lineage: Eukaryota; Metazoa; Chordata; Aves; Cuculiformes; Cuculidae.